UUGGGUGUCUCGUGAGCGCUGCCACGUCAGAGGGAACCAUAACAAUGGCAGCUUCAUACACACAACAAGAGAAUCUCAACCUCCGCUGAAUUACUUCAUCCACAACGGGUUCUUGAGCGACUUUCCUCGAUACAAAGAAAGUGAAUUCUUAGGUCAGUGGCCAGCAUACAACACGAGAGACCAGAUAUGACCAUUGUAUUAGCCUGUCAAGACCGAAGGACUGGUCACCUCAAACUUCAACUGUCUCCAGUGAUGUAUUCGACUGAAGAAACCUGCUGUAUAGGCGAAACUUUUCGUCAGUGAAGAUGGUAAAGUGUUGCACAUGUCUAAUUCAUCAGUUUGUGAGAUAUGUGGAGAGAGACCGCAGCCAUUACCUUGCCUCCUUGCUCACACUCGUAACACUCGCUGACCGGCCGCCCACAUACCCAUAUGUGAGAGGGCCUUUUGAAUAAUGCCAGUUCAGCGCAAUAUGAAUAGACAGUGACUCAGGCAGAGACGGUUGGUCGUUGAGUCAACGGUACACUGGUUACUGGUAACUGGUUACUACUACUGAGAGCUCGGCGACGCUAACGUAUGUCGUCCCGACAUACAACUAAUACAAACUAGAGAUGGCAGGUAUACGGCUUGGGCUGAUUCUAUACAAUGUCAAA
Non-coding RNA from Cherax quadricarinatus, 650 nucleotides. The record is from RefSeq and is a predicted model, not a curated record. Lineage: Eukaryota; Metazoa; Arthropoda; Malacostraca; Decapoda; Parastacidae.